Long non-coding RNA from Leptopilina heterotoma, 773 nucleotides. RefSeq lists it as uncharacterized. The transcript is spliced from 3 exons. Lineage: Eukaryota; Metazoa; Arthropoda; Insecta; Hymenoptera; Figitidae. The record is from RefSeq and is a predicted model, not a curated record.
UUGAAUUGCGAAGUCGAUGAAAAGUGUGAUCAAUUAAUUAAUUAAUUGACUUUCGCAAUUCGUCGACACCGGUUCAACAACGGCUACGCUCUCACGUGCCGGCCGAGGACACGGAAGUGUGGCCGUUUUUGACCAUCAAAUAAUAAGGGAAUAAUAAGAUGACGAUUAUGAAUUCUAUAAGUGGAAUGUUGUGAAGACUUGGAAGUUGGGACUGAUCGGAAAGCCUACAUGCUCCUCAACAGGAUGAUUACUAUUAAUACUUUCUACUGUGUGGGUAACUCGAAACGAAGAAGAAGAAGAAGAAGUAGUGGUGGCGGAGGAGAAAUACCGCCGUGGCGGCAAGACGACGAGCCACCUUUUUCGUCGAAAAAUUUGGAGAGCGAGUUUAAGAGCCGGUUUAUCCGGAUUGAAAACUGCAGCUGUGAUCCUGCCAUAUUGCCUCAGAAUGAUUAGAAGAAUAUUUUUCGGAUGCGAAUGAUAUUAUUUUAUUUACAUCUUUCGUUGUCUUUUUUUUCUUCACUCCGAAAAAAGUAAAAUUACGUUUUUAUCUCGGUUUUCAAUAAUAUGAGGAUAAUGAUUUAAUUAUACAUCAAUUCUAUAUAUAUAUAUAUAUUAUAAUUUCAUAUAAUAAUUUAAUUUUUUAAUCUUUAGAUUUUUUUAAUUUUUGUUUUAAUUCGGAAAACUGUUUCUUCGUCACUUUUUAAAUAUGAAUAUUUACAGGGAGUUAAGACUAAAGAAUAUUAAUAUUAACAAUUAAUAAGUAAUAAAUAUUA